Molecule: non-coding RNA, 68 nt
Organism: Cephus cinctus (wheat stem sawfly)
Lineage: Eukaryota; Metazoa; Arthropoda; Insecta; Hymenoptera; Cephidae
Source: the annotation of a RefSeq genome assembly
AAUCUUGUAGUUUAUAAAAAUUUUAAAUUGCAAAUUUAAAGAAGUACAAUUUGUGUAUACUAAGAUUU